RNAcentral lists this ribosomal RNA (876 nucleotides) under uncultured bacterium. RNAcentral describes it as "bacterial SSU rRNA". It matches the Rfam family "Bacterial small subunit ribosomal RNA", at positions 337 to 1234 of the family's 1533-position model. The record is from RNAcentral.
UCCUACGGGAGGCAGCAGUGGGGAAUAUUGCGCAAUGGACGAAAGUCUGACGCAGCGACGCCGCGUGGAGGAUGAAGGUUUUCGGAUCGUAAACUCCUGUCAAGAGGGAAGAAACCUAUCAUGAAUAAUACUUAUGGUAAUUGACGGUACCUCUAGAGGAAGCACCGGCUAAUUCAGUGCCAGCAGCCGCGGUAAUACUGAAGGUGCAAGCGUUAAUCGGAAUCACUGGGCGUAAAGCGCUCGUAGGUGGCUUUGUAAGUCAGGUGUGAAAGCCCACGGCUCAACCGUGGAAUUGCACUUGAUACUGCAUCGCUAGAGUAUAGGAGAGGGAAGUGGAAUUUCUGGUGUAGGAGUGAAAUCCGUAGAGAUCAGAAGGAACACCCGUGGCGAAGGCGACUUCCUGGACUAUUACUGACACUGAGGAGCGAAAGCGUGGGGAGCAAACAGGAUUAGAUACCCUGGUAGUCCACGCCGUAAACGAUGGGUACUAGGUGUUGGGGGCUUGACCCUCGGUGCCGUAGUUAACGCGUUAAGUACCCCGCCUGGGGAGUACGGUCGCAAGGCUGAAACUCAAAGAAAUUGACGGGGGCCCGCACAAGCGGUGGAGUAUGUGGUUUAAUUCGAUGCAACGCGAAGAACCUUACCCAGGCUUGACAUCCUGCGAAUGCCCAAGAAAUUAGGCAGUGCCCUUCGGGGAAUGCAGUGACAGGUGCUGCAUGGCUGUCGUCAGCUCGUGCCGUGAGUGUUGGGUAAGUCCCGCACGACGCACCCUAUCCUUAUUGCACAGGUAAUGCUGACACUCUAGAGACUGCCGGUUACCGGAGGAUGUGGAGACGUCAGUACUCUGCCCUACCCUGGCGCACACCUCAUAAAGGU